CCAUGGCAGUCGAGCGGAUGAAAGGAGCUUGCUCCUGGAUUCAGCGGCGGACGGGUGAGUAAUGCCUAGGAAUCUGCCUGGUAGUGGGGGACAACGUUUCGAAAGGAACGCUAAUACCGCAUACGUCCUACGGGAGAAAGCAGGGGACCUUCGGGCCUUGCGCUAUCAGAUGAGCCUAGGUCGGAUUAGCUAGUUGGUGAGGUAAUGGCUCACCAAGGCGACGAUCCGUAACUGGUCUGAGAGGAUGAUCAGUCACACUGGAACUGAGACACGGUCCAGACUCCUACGGGAGGCAGCAGUGGGGAAUAUUGGACAAUGGGCGAAAGCCUGAUCCAGCCAUGCCGCGUGUGUGAAGAAGGUCUUCGGAUUGUAAAGCACUUUAAGUUGGGAGGAAGGGCAGUAAAUUAAUACUUUGCUGUUUUGACGUUACCGACAGAAUAAGCACCGGCUAACUCUGUGCCAGCAGCCGCGGUAAUACAGAGGGUGCAAGCGUUAAUCGGAAUUACUGGGCGUAAAGCGCGCGUAGGUGGUUCGUUAAGUUGAAUGUGAAAUCCCCGGGCUCAACCUGGGAACUGCAUCCAAAACUGGCGAGCUAGAGUAUGGUAGAGGGUGGUGG
This 616-nucleotide ribosomal RNA is filed under the name Pseudomonas sp. RNAcentral describes it as "bacterial SSU rRNA". It matches the Rfam family "Bacterial small subunit ribosomal RNA", at positions 53 to 664 of the family's 1533-position model. The record is from RNAcentral. Lineage: Bacteria; Pseudomonadati; Pseudomonadota; Gammaproteobacteria; Pseudomonadales; Pseudomonadaceae.